RNAcentral lists this ribosomal RNA (253 nucleotides) under uncultured bacterium. Its description in RNAcentral is "partial 16S ribosomal RNA". It matches the Rfam family "Bacterial small subunit ribosomal RNA", at positions 524 to 776 of the family's 1533-position model. The record is from RNAcentral.
UACAGAGGGGGCAAGCGUUAUUCGGAAUUAUUGGGCGUAAAGGGCGCGUAGGCGGCUUGGCAAGUGGAAGGUGAAAUCCCUUGGCUUAACCGAGGAACUGCCUUCCAGACUGCUUUGCUUGAGGCCGGGAGAGGCGAGUGGAAUUCCCAGUGUAGCGGUGAAAUGCGUAGAUAUUGGGAGGAACACCAGUGGCGAAGGCGGCUCGCUGGACCGGUUCUGACGCUGAGGCGCGAAGGCGUGGGGAGCAAACAGG